RNAcentral lists this transfer RNA (71 nucleotides) under Diplometopon zarudnyi. Its description in RNAcentral is "tRNA-Trp". Lineage: Eukaryota; Metazoa; Chordata; Lepidosauria; Squamata; Trogonophidae. The record is from RNAcentral.
AGAAACUUAGGAUAUCUUAAACCGGAAACCUUCAAAGUUUCAAAAAAGAGCCAUAAAACUCUUAGUUUCUG